This 253-nucleotide ribosomal RNA is filed under the name uncultured bacterium. RNAcentral's name for it is "partial 16S ribosomal RNA". It matches the Rfam family "Bacterial small subunit ribosomal RNA", at positions 524 to 776 of the family's 1533-position model. The record is from RNAcentral.
UACAGAGGUGGCAAGCGUUGUUCGGAAUUACUGGGCGUAAAGGGCGCGUAGGCGGCCUUGUAAGUCCUGUGUGAAAUCCCCCGGCUCAACUGGGGAACUGCACAGGAGACUGCUUGGCUUGAGUUCGGGAGAGGGAAGCGGAAUUCCGGGUGUAGCGGUGAAAUGCGUAGAUAUCCGGAGGAACACCGGUGGCGAAGGCGGCUUCCUGGCCAUUCACUGACGCUGAGACGCGAAAGCGUGGGGAGCAAACAGG